CCUACGGGAGGCUGCAGUGAGGAAUAUUGGUCAAUGGGAGAGAUCCUGAACCAGCCAAGCCGCGUGAGGGAAGACGGCCCUAUGGGUUGUAAACCCCUUUUGUCGGAGAAAAAAAACCGGGUCGUGUACCGGACUGCGUGUAUCCGAAGAAAAAGCAUCGGCUAACUACGUGCAAGCAGCCGCGGUAAUACGGAGGAUGCGAGCGUUAUCCGGAUUUAUUGGGUUUAAAGGGUGCGUAGGCGGUCCGUUAAGUCCGCGGGAAAAUUGAGGGGCUCAACCCCGUCGCGCCGUUGAAUCUGGAAGACGUGAGUUGGCGAGAAGUACGCGGAAUGCGAGGUGAAGCGGUGAAAUGCAUAGAUAUCGCGCAGAACUCCGAUUGCGAAGGCAGCGUACCGGCGCCAGACUGACGCUGAGGCACGAAAGCGUGGGGAGCGAACAGGAUUAGAUACCCCAGUAGUC
RNAcentral lists this ribosomal RNA (459 nucleotides) under uncultured bacterium. RNAcentral describes it as "partial 16S ribosomal RNA". It matches the Rfam family "Bacterial small subunit ribosomal RNA", at positions 338 to 795 of the family's 1533-position model. The record is from RNAcentral.